RNAcentral lists this transfer RNA (87 nucleotides) under Candidatus Riesia sp. RNAcentral describes it as "tRNA-Ser". It matches the Rfam family "tRNA". From Rfam's summary of the family: Transfer RNA (tRNA) molecules are approximately 80 nucleotides in length. Their secondary structure includes four short double-helical elements and three loops (D, anti-codon, and T loops). Further hydrogen bonds mediate the characteristic L-shaped molecular structure. tRNAs have two regions of fundamental functional importance: the anti-codon, which is responsible for specific mRNA codon recognition, and the 3' end, to which the tRNAs corresponding amino acid is attached (by aminoacyl-tRNA synthetases). tRNAs cope with the degeneracy of the genetic code in two manners: having more than one tRNA (with a specific anti-codon) for a particular amino acid; and 'wobble' base-pairing, i.e. permitting non-standard base-pairing at the 3rd anti-codon position. Lineage: Bacteria; Pseudomonadati; Pseudomonadota; Gammaproteobacteria; Enterobacterales; Enterobacteriaceae. The record is from RNAcentral.
GGAGGGUAGGCGAAUAUUGGUUUGUCGCGCUUGUUUGCUAAACAAGUCCGGGUUAUCCCGGUGAGAGUUCGAUCCUCUUACCCUCCG